RNAcentral lists this ribosomal RNA (465 nucleotides) under uncultured bacterium. Its description in RNAcentral is "partial 16S ribosomal RNA". It matches the Rfam family "Bacterial small subunit ribosomal RNA", at positions 338 to 795 of the family's 1533-position model. The record is from RNAcentral.
CCUACGGGUGGCAGCAGUAGGGAAUCUUCCACAAUGGGCGAAAGCCUGAUGGUGCAACGCCGCGUGGGUGAAGAAGGUCUUCGGAUUGUAAAAUUCUGUUGUUAGAGAAGAAAGUGCGGGAGAGUAACUGUUCACGUUCCGACGGCAUCUUACCAGAAAGCGACGGCUAACUACGUGCCAGCAGCCGCGGUAAUACGUAGGUGGCAAGCGUUAUCCGGAUUUAUUGGGCGUAAAGGGAACGCAGGCGGUGUUGUAAGUCUGAUGUGAAAGGCUUGGGCUUAACCGGCGGAGUGCAUUGGAAACUGGUAGACUUGAGUGCAGAAGAGGUGAGUGGAACUCCAUGUGUAGCGGUGAAAUGCGUAGAUAUAUGGAAGAACACCAGUGGCGAAGGCGGCUUACUGGUCUGUAACUGACGCUGAGGUUCGAAAGCGUGGGUAGCAAACAGGAUUAGAUACCCUUGUAGUC